RNAcentral lists this long non-coding RNA (219 nucleotides) under Elaeis guineensis (African oil palm). RNAcentral's name for it is "long non-coding RNA (EGUI_LNC068936)". The record is from RNAcentral. Lineage: Eukaryota; Viridiplantae; Streptophyta; Magnoliopsida; Arecales; Arecaceae.
CUCGGAUCUCUACUGUAAGCAAAUUCCAUCCGAGCCUCUGCUGUAAACGUAUUUCUUUCGAACUUCCAUUACAGGUAGACUUCAGUCGAGCUUCUUCGUAGUCGGGUCCCAGACGAGCUUCUACAAUGGGACAAGACUCAUCAGCCAGGUCGCUACUCCGAGCUCCCACGACAAUCGAUCUUCGAUCGAGCUUCCAUAAUGGGACAGGACUCAUCGGCC